Molecule: ribosomal RNA, 331 nt
Filed under: Madagapotamon humberti
Lineage: Eukaryota; Metazoa; Arthropoda; Malacostraca; Decapoda; Deckeniidae
Description: partial 12S ribosomal RNA
Source: RNAcentral
AUUUACUUUAAAUUUAAAGAAUUUGGCGGUAAUUUAGUCUAGUCAGAGGAACCUGUUUAUUGAUUGAUAAACCUCGUAAUAUCUUACUUGUUUUUAAUAAAAGUUUGUAUACCAUCAUUAUCAGAUAAUUUUAUUAGAGAAUAAAUUAUUAAAAUUAAUAUUAUUAUAAAAAUUAGAUCAAGGUGCAGCUAAUAAAUAAGUUAAAAUGGGUUACAAUAAAAUUUAUUUAAGACGGAUUAGUAAUUGAAAGGUAACUAUAAAGGAGGAUUUGAUUGUAAUAUGAAUUUAAUAAGUUUGUAAGAUAUGAGCUCUAAAUUAUGUACACAUCGCC